UAAUACGACUCUUCACACGAUUUCAACAUCAAAUAAAUAAUUAAUAUUUAUUAAUUAUAAUUUAAAACGAGUUAAUAAUUUUUAAUUCAAUUAAAAUUACAGAGCUUUCAAAAUGGGUAAAGGCUUUAAUAAUUAUAUGUGUAAAAAAUUUUUCCAUCCAGCGUCUAGAGAUAAUUUAAAAAGAGUAUGGAUGGCCGAACAGAAAUCUGAGAAAGAUAAAAAACGUCAGGAAGAACUACGACUUCAAUAUGAAAAAGAACAAGAUCUUUAUAACAACAAAGCAUUGUUGUCAAAAGAAAGUAAAGAUAAAUUGAGUGUAAAUUUUAUGUAUGAGCCACCUCCUGGAGCAAAGAAGGAAAGAGAACGUGAAGAUAAUGAACCAGAAUACAAAUUUGAAUGGCAAAGAAAAUUCAACGCUCCUAGAGAAGAUUAUUGCAAAGGUGACCAAGAAAUUCGAGAUCAACCUUUUGGAAUUCAAGUUAGAAAUGUUCGCUGUAUCAAGUGUCACAAAUGGGGACAUAUUAAUACUGAUAAAGAAUGUCCCUUAUUCAACCAAGCCAGUAUAUCUGAGGCGGUAACAAGUGUCUCAGCAAAUGGCUCUUCUUCUAAUAUGAAAACACAAGAUUUAAUCAAACAAAUGCGUGAAGACGGUUUAGCUUUAAAGAAAAGUGCAGCUUCUACUCAACAACAAAUUUCAUGUUCAAAUAAUGGUGCGGAUAGUGAUUCAGAACUUUUCAUGUAUAUAAAAUCGUUAACAAGGAAAAAAAAAAUUAAAUUACUAAACUCUCACUGGACCGAUUUCUUUCAACAAUACGUCAAAAGAUCACAAAUCGUAUCUAGUUGAAGACAUUACCCUCAAAAAUUGAAAAAUUUUCCCUCGUUUCCCGCAAAUGGGACGAUUAGAUAGAAUGGAUAGAAUUAUGAUGAAAGAACAAAGAAUAAUCAUGAAGCAAGAAGUAAAAUCAAUGAAGAAAAAAAGGAGAAACAACAGUAGUAGCAGUAGGAGUAGUAGCAAUAGUUCAAAUUAAUUAAUACUUUUUUAGUUUAUAAAUUUUGUAAUUGUAAAAUAAUUAAUAAAAUUAACAAAUGAAUAAAUAAAAAUAUAUAUGGUCUCAA
Daktulosphaira vitifoliae (grape phylloxera) is the source of this 1116-nucleotide RNA transcript. It is a transcript of the gene named corepressor interacting with RBPJ 1, with no coding region annotated. NCBI's taxonomy places the organism in Eukaryota, Metazoa, Arthropoda, Insecta, Hemiptera, Phylloxeridae. The record is from RefSeq and is a predicted model, not a curated record. The transcript has 8 exons.